This 76-nucleotide transfer RNA is filed under the name Bacillus phage P59. RNAcentral's name for it is "tRNA-Pro". It matches the Rfam family "tRNA". Rfam says of the family: Transfer RNA (tRNA) molecules are approximately 80 nucleotides in length. Lineage: Duplodnaviria; Heunggongvirae; Uroviricota; Caudoviricetes; Herelleviridae. The record is from RNAcentral.
AUGGGAGUAGCUCAGUUGGUAGAGCACUGCGUUUGGGGCGCAGGGGCCGCAGGUUCAAGUCCUGUCUCCCGUACCA